RNAcentral lists this ribosomal RNA (304 nucleotides) under uncultured bacterium. RNAcentral describes it as "partial 16S ribosomal RNA". It matches the Rfam family "Bacterial small subunit ribosomal RNA", at positions 509 to 807 of the family's 1533-position model. The record is from RNAcentral.
CAGCAGCCGCCACGGUAAUACGGAGGGUGCAAGCGUUAAUCGGAAUUACUGGGCGUAAAGCGCACGCAGGCGGUCUGACAAGUCAGAUGUGAAAUCCCCGGGCUUAACCUGGGAACUGCAUUUGAAACUGUCAGGCUGGAGUCUUGUAGAGGGGGGUAGAAUUCCAGGUGUAGCGGUGAAAUGCGUAGAGAUCUGGAGGAAUACCGGUGGCGAAGGCGGCCCCCUGGACAAAGACUGACGCUCAGGUGCGAAAGCGUGGGGAGCAAACAGGAUUAGAUACCCCAGUAGUCCCUGUCUCUUAUAC